Molecule: long non-coding RNA, 351 nt
Organism: Erinaceus europaeus (western European hedgehog)
Lineage: Eukaryota; Metazoa; Chordata; Mammalia; Eulipotyphla; Erinaceidae
Exons: 3
Source: RefSeq, a predicted model, not a curated record
GCUCUCUCUCCAUCCUCUGUGUUUUUAUGUAUGAAUGCAGGGAAAUUGUUCAAGUGCAGAGGAAACUGGUGAAACAGACAGUCUCCUACCUCCUGUCCCUAAGUUUCUACUGCCUCAUGGAUACUUGGACUUGGGGUUAAGAGCGGGGAGAAGCAGCAGCUGGACAUGUUACCCCUGCACCACUCAGAGAAUUCUCCACACAUUGAUGAGGAAGCCGUGUCGAAUCGUGACCCCGUACAUGUGGACUCACCCACCUCACAGUGAAGUUUGCCGCGUACAGUAGUGGAAAUGGGGACAAAAUGUUUAUUUCAAGCUGAUUUUGUGCCAAUAAAUAAAGUAAAUCAAUAGCCA